This 1398-nucleotide ribosomal RNA is filed under the name uncultured bacterium. Its description in RNAcentral is "16S ribosomal RNA". It matches the Rfam family "Bacterial small subunit ribosomal RNA". The record is from RNAcentral.
AGAGUUUGAUCCUGGCUCAGGAUGAACGCUAGCGGCAGGCUUAACACAUGCAAGUCGAGGGGCAGCGGGGAGGAAGCUUGCUUUCUCCGCCGGCGACCGGCGCACGGGUGAGUAACACGUAUGCAACCUGCCCCUGUCAGGGGGACAACCCGCCGAAAGGCGGGCUAAACCCGCGUACAUGCCACCGGGGCAUCCCGGAGGCAGGAAAGGCUUCGGCCGGACAGGGAUGGGCAUGCGGCGCAUUAGGCAGUAGGCGGGGUAACGGCCCACCUAACCGACGAUGCGUAGGGGUUCUGAGAGGAAGGUCCCCCACACUGGUACUGAGACACGGACCAGACUCCUACGGGAGGCAGCAGUGAGGAAUAUUGGUCAAUGGUCGGGAGACUGAACCAGCCAAGCCGCGUGAGGGAUGAAGGUACAGAGUAUCGUAAACCUCUUUUGUCAGGGAACAAAGGCGGGGACGCGUCCCCGGAUGAGUGUACCUGAAGAAAAAGCAUCGGCUAACUCCGUGCCAGCAGCCGCGGUAAUACGGAGGAUGCGAGCGUUAUCCGGAUUUAUUGGGUUUAAAGGGUGCGCAGGCGGUCUGUUAAGUCAGCGGUCAAAGCCCGGGGCUCAACCCCGGCCCGCCGUUGAAACUGGCAGUCUCGAGUUGGAGAGAAGUAUGCGGAAUGCGCGGUGUAGCGGUGAAAUGCAUAGAUAUCGCGCAGAACUCCGAUUGCGAAGGCAGCAUGCCGGCUCCACACUGACGCUGAGGCACGAAAGCGUGGGUAUCGAACAGGAUUAGAUACCCUGGUAGUCCACGCAGUAAACGAUGAAUGCUGGCUGUCCGGGGGGAUUGACCCCUGGGUGGCGAAGCGAAAGCGAUAAGCAUUCCACCUGGGGAGUACGCCGGCAACGGUGAAACUCAAAGGAAUUGACGGGGGCCCGCACAAGCGGAGGAACAUGUGGUUUUAUUCGAUGAUACGCGAGGAACCUUACCCGGGCUCAAACGGGGAGUGACUCAGGCAGAGACGCCUGUUUCCCACGGGACACUCCCCGAGGUGCUGCAUGGUUGUCGUCAGCUCGUGCCGUGAGGUGUCGGCUUAAGUGCCAUAACGAGCGCAACCCCCGCGUGCAGUUGCUAACAGAUAACGCUGAGGACUCUGCACGGACUGCCGGCGCAAGCCGCGAGGAAGGCGGGGAUGACGUCGAAUCAGCACGGCCCUUACGUCCGGGGCGACACACGUGUUACAAUGGGUGGUACAGCGGGAAGCCAGGCGGCGACGCCGAGCGGAACCCGAAAUCCACUCUCAGUUCGGAUCGGAGUCUGCAACCCGACUCCGUGAAGCUGGAUUCGCUAGUAAUCGCGCAUCAGCCAUGGCGCGGUGAAUACGUUCCCGGGCCUUGCACACACCGCCC